GUGCCAGCCGCCGCGGUAACACCGGCAGCUCGAGUGAUGGCCGAUUUUAUUGGGCCUAAAGCGUCCGUAGCCUGCCGUACGGGUGGGUCGGGAAAUCCGCCCGCUCAACGGGCGGACGUCCGGCGGAAACCAUACGGCUUGGGACCAGAGGACCCGAGGGGUACGUCGGGGGUAGGAGUGAAAUCCGGAGAUCCUCGACGGACCGCCGGUGGCGAAAGCGCCUCGGGAAGAUGGAUCCGACGGUCAGGGACGAAAGCUUGGGUCUCGAACCGGAUUAGAAACCCCCGUAGUCC
Molecule: ribosomal RNA, 293 nt
Filed under: uncultured prokaryote
Description: partial 16S ribosomal RNA
Rfam family: Archaeal small subunit ribosomal RNA
Source: RNAcentral